GGAAUAAUUAGCACUUAAGAUGUCUGUCUUGUGACUGUUGUUAUAAUAUAAUUGGGAUUUUUGGUCUAGCUUAUGAAAUGAGAAAAAUGAAUACAUCAUUAUUUUUAAUCUGUCUGCUCAAUAACUGGUGUUAAAGAGACAACCAUGUAAGUUAUGGUAUGGUCGAGAAAAGGUGAUUUAAGGUCUUGUUAACACAACAAAGUAAUUUGGGUAUACUAAGAACAAUGGGACAAGUAAUUCAAUCAAUACAGAUAUACUUCAUAGUUGUAGAUCUUACCUUAAUAUUUUUCUUUAAAACUCAUGAGAAAG
Non-coding RNA from Pelobates cultripes (western spadefoot toad), 309 nucleotides. The record is from the annotation of a GenBank genome assembly. NCBI's taxonomy places the organism in Eukaryota, Metazoa, Chordata, Amphibia, Anura, Pelobatidae.